AUCAAUACCAAAUUUUAUCUGGAAUCUCUCCUGUGAUUGUACUCUCAAAUUCUGCAGAUGUUAUUUUCACUGUUCUGCUGCCUCUAAAGCCUUUUGCUCGAUUGUUUAUAUUUUUAUUUAAGAUCUUUUUUCCUCCUUUAAAAUAGAUUGGAACCAAGAUGCCUUUUAGAUUUUUGCAUACCACUAAAGGUCUAUUAGGCAAUGAUUUUCCUAAGACUGGAUCUUGAAGUAAGAUUGAC
This is a non-coding RNA of Pelobates cultripes (western spadefoot toad), 239 nucleotides long. The record is from the annotation of a GenBank genome assembly. NCBI's taxonomy places the organism in Eukaryota, Metazoa, Chordata, Amphibia, Anura, Pelobatidae.